UGCGUAGGCGGAAUGAUAAGUUAGUGGUGAAAGCCCCCAGCUCAACUGGGGAACUGCCAUUAAUACUGUCGUUCUUGAGUAUAGUUGAAGUGGGCGGAAUGUAUCAUGUAGCGGUGAAAUGCUUAGAUAUGAUACAGAACACCGAUAGCGAAGGCAGCUUGCUAAACUAUAACUGACGCUAAGGCACGAAAGCGUGGGGAGCAAACAGGAUUAGAUACCCUGGUAGUCC
RNAcentral lists this ribosomal RNA (229 nucleotides) under uncultured bacterium. RNAcentral's name for it is "partial 16S ribosomal RNA". It matches the Rfam family "Bacterial small subunit ribosomal RNA", at positions 568 to 796 of the family's 1533-position model. The record is from RNAcentral.